This is a long non-coding RNA of Telopea speciosissima, 144 nucleotides long. RefSeq lists it as uncharacterized. The record is from RefSeq and is a predicted model, not a curated record. NCBI's taxonomy places the organism in Eukaryota, Viridiplantae, Streptophyta, Magnoliopsida, Proteales, Proteaceae. The transcript has 3 exons.
UGGAUUUGACCAGUUGAAUCAAAAAGAUCAGAUCUGGUCUAAUUUACAGAAAACGAAGACGAAUUGGAAGAUCAGUUGGGUAAAUUUGUCAUCGCUUCGGUCUUUCUAAAGAAAAUAGAGAUAGAUUCAUAGAUUGCAAAAGAA